RNAcentral lists this non-coding RNA (96 nucleotides) under Bacteroidota bacterium. Its description in RNAcentral is "Bacteroidetes bacterium TPP sequence". It matches the Rfam family "TPP riboswitch aptamer (THI element)". Rfam says of the family: Vitamin B(1) in its active form thiamin pyrophosphate (TPP) is an essential coenzyme that is synthesised by coupling of pyrimidine and thiazole moieties in bacteria. The previously detected thiamin-regulatory element, thi box was extended, resulting in a new, highly conserved RNA secondary structure, the THI element, which is widely distributed in eubacteria and also occurs in some archaea. Lineage: Bacteria; Pseudomonadati; Bacteroidota. The record is from RNAcentral.
AUAAUCUAUUUGGGGUGCCUUAAAUAAUAGGCUGAGAAUAAACCCUUUGAACCUGAUGCAGGUAAUGCUGCCGUAGGGAGAUAAGAAAAUCACAAU